This is a long non-coding RNA of Xiphophorus couchianus (Monterrey platyfish), 195 nucleotides long. RefSeq lists it as uncharacterized. The record is from RefSeq and is a predicted model, not a curated record. NCBI's taxonomy places the organism in Eukaryota, Metazoa, Chordata, Actinopteri, Cyprinodontiformes, Poeciliidae. The transcript is spliced from 2 exons.
GGAAAGACAACAGUCGAAGACAGAAAUCUGGGUUGGGUAAAGAGGGGAGGAGAGAUGUUAAGACGUGGGAGAGAAAGACAACAGAGGAAGGUGCUGAGCCUUUGCCUUCCACUCUGAUGUGUUGCCAGGAUUUUGGACUGUUUUGGAUUUGAUUGCACCUCGUUCUCAUCAUUAAAACCACAUUUUUUCAUCUCA